GGCCCUGUCGUCUAGCCCGGUCCAGGACACAUGAUUCUCAUUCAUGUAACACGGGUUCAAAUCCCGUCGGGGCUGCUA
This 78-nucleotide transfer RNA is filed under the name Candidatus Yanofskybacteria bacterium RIFCSPHIGHO2_01_FULL_44_24. RNAcentral describes it as "tRNA-Glu". It matches the Rfam family "tRNA". Rfam says of the family: Transfer RNA (tRNA) molecules are approximately 80 nucleotides in length. Their secondary structure includes four short double-helical elements and three loops (D, anti-codon, and T loops). Further hydrogen bonds mediate the characteristic L-shaped molecular structure. tRNAs have two regions of fundamental functional importance: the anti-codon, which is responsible for specific mRNA codon recognition, and the 3' end, to which the tRNAs corresponding amino acid is attached (by aminoacyl-tRNA synthetases). tRNAs cope with the degeneracy of the genetic code in two manners: having more than one tRNA (with a specific anti-codon) for a particular amino acid; and 'wobble' base-pairing, i.e. permitting non-standard base-pairing at the 3rd anti-codon position. RNAcentral also lists the same sequence under 2 other names. The record is from RNAcentral. Lineage: Bacteria; Candidatus Yanofskyibacteriota.